AGUGAACGCUGGCGGUAGGCCUAACACAUGCAAGUCGAACGGCAGCACAGUAAGAGCUUGCCCUUACGGGUGGCGAGUGGCGGACGGGUGAGGAAUACAUCGGAAUCUACUUUUUCGUGGGUGAUAACGUAGGGAAACUUACGCUAAUACCGCAUACGACCUACGGGUGAAAGCAGGGGAUCUUCGGACCUUGCGCGAUUGAAUGAGCCGAUGCCGGAUUAGCUAGUUGGCGGGGUAAAGGCCCACCAAGGCGACGAUCCGUAGCUGGUCUGAGAGGAUGAUCGGCCACACUGGAACUGAGACACGGUCCAGACUCCUACGGGAGGCAGCAGUGGGGAAUAUUGGGCAAUGGGCGCAAGCCUGAUCCAGCCAUGCCGCGUGGGUGAAGAAGGCCUUCGGGUUGUAAAGCCCUUUUGUUGGGGAAGAAAAGCAGCAGGUUAAUACGCCGAUGUUCUGACGGUACCCAAAGAAUAAGCACCGGCUAACUUCGUG
Molecule: ribosomal RNA, 492 nt
Filed under: uncultured bacterium
Lineage: Bacteria
Description: partial 16S ribosomal RNA
Rfam family: Bacterial small subunit ribosomal RNA
Source: RNAcentral